RNAcentral lists this ribosomal RNA (586 nucleotides) under Oenococcus oeni. Its description in RNAcentral is "bacterial SSU rRNA". It matches the Rfam family "Bacterial small subunit ribosomal RNA", at positions 953 to 1533 of the family's 1533-position model. The record is from RNAcentral. Lineage: Bacteria; Bacillati; Bacillota; Bacilli; Lactobacillales; Lactobacillaceae.
GAAGAUACGCGAAAAACCUUACCAGGUCUUGACAUACCAAUGAUCGCUUUUGUAAUGAAAGCUUUUCUUCGGAACAUUGGAUACAGGUGGUGCAUGGUCGUCGUCAGCUCGUGUCGUGAGAUGUUGGGUUAAGUCCCGCAACGAGCGCAACCCUUGUUAUUAGUUGCCAGCAUUUAGUUGGGCACUCUAAUGAGACUGCCGGUGAUAAACCGGAGGAAGGUGGGGACGACGUCAGAUCAUCAUGCCCCUUAUGACCUGGGCAACACACGUGCUACAAUGGGAAGUACAACGAGUCGCAAACCGGCGACGGCAAGCUAAUCUCUUAAAACUUCUCUCAGUUCGGACUGGAGUCUGCAACUCGACUCCACGAAGGCGGAAUCGCUAGUAAUCGCGAAUCAGCAUGUCGCGGUGAAUACGUUCCCGGGUCUUGUACACACCGCCCGUCAAAUCAUGGGAGUCGGAAGUACCCAAAGUCGCUUGGCUAACUUUUAGAGGCCGGUGCCUAAGGUAAAAUCGAUGACUGGGAUUAAGUCGUAACAAGGUAGCCGUAGGAGAACCUGCGGCUGGAUCACCUCCUUUCUAAGGA